AGCAGCCGCGGUAAUUCCAGCUCCAAUAGCGUAUAUUAAAGUUGUUGCAGUUAAAAAGCUCGUAGUUGAAUUUCGGGGUUAGUAGGUUGGUCAUGCCUCUGGUAUGUACUGGUCUCACUGAUUCCUCCUUCCUGAUGAACCUUAAUGCCAUUAAUUUGGUGUUUUGGGGAAUUUGGACUGUUACUUUGAAAAAUUGGAGUGUUUAAAGCAAGCUAACGCUUGAAUACAUUAGCAUGGAAUAAUGAAAUAGGACGUUCGAUCCUAUUUUGUUGGUUUCUAGGAUUGACGUAAUGAUUAAUAGGGAUAGUUGGGGGCAUUAGUAUUCAAUUGUCAGAGGUGAAAUUCUUGGAUUUAUUGAAGACUAACUACUGCGAAAGCAUUUGCCAAGGAUGUUUUCAUUAAUCAAGAACGAAAGUUAGGGGAUCGAAGACGAUCAGAUACCGUCGUAGUCUUAACCAUAAACUAUGCCGACUAGGGAUCGGAUGAUGUUAAUUUUUAAUGACUCAU
This 507-nucleotide ribosomal RNA is filed under the name uncultured Glomus. Its description in RNAcentral is "SSU rRNA". It matches the Rfam family "Eukaryotic small subunit ribosomal RNA", at positions 569 to 1079 of the family's 1831-position model. The record is from RNAcentral. Lineage: Eukaryota; Fungi; Glomeromycota; Glomeromycetes; Glomerales; Glomeraceae.